AUUUUUCGCUGGCGGCAUGCCUUACACAUGCAAGUCGAACGGCAGCACGGAGCUUGCUCUGGUGGCGAGUGGCGAACGGGUGAGUAAUAUAUCGGAACGUACCCUAGAGUGGGGGAUAACGUAGCGAAAGUUACGCUAAUACCGCAUACGAUCUAAGGAUGAAAGUGGGGGAUCGCAAGACCUCAUGCUCGUGGAGCGGCCGAUAUCUGAUUAGCUAGUUGGUAGGGUAAAAGCCUACCAAGGCAUCGAUCAGUAGCUGGUCUGAGAGGACGACCAGCCACACUGGAACUGAGACACGGUCCAGACUCCUACGGGAGGCAGCAGUGGGGAAUUUUGGACAAUGGGCGAAAGCCUGAUCCAGCAAUGCCGCGUGAGUGAAGAAGGCCUUCGGGUUGUAAAGCUCUUUUGUCAGGGAAGAAACGGUGAGAGCUAAUAUCUCUUGCUAAUGACGGUACCUGAAGAAUAAGCACUGGCUAACUACGUGCCAGCAGCCGCGGUAAUACGUAGGGUGCAAGCGUUAAUCGGAAUUACUGGGCGUAAAGCGUGCGCAGGCGGUUUUGUAAGUCUGAUGUGAAAUCCCCGGGCUCAACCUGGGAAUUGCAUUGGAGACUGCAAGGCUAGAAUCUGGCAGAGGGGGGUAGAAUUCCACGUGUAGCAGUGAAAUGCGUAGAUAUGUGGAGGAACACCGAUGGCGAAGGCAGCCCCCUGGGUCAAGAUUGACGCUCAUGCACGAAAGCGUGGGGAGCAAACAGGAUUAGAUACCCUGGUAGUCCACGCCCUAAACGAUGUCUACUAGUUGUCGGGUCUUAAUUGACUUGGUAACGCAGCUAACGCGUGAAGUAGACCGCCUGGGGAGUACGGUCGCAAGAUUAAAACUCAAAGGAAUUGACGGGGACCCGCACAAGCGGUGGAUGAUGUGGAUUAAUUCGAUGCAACGCGAAAAACCUUACCUACCCUUGACAUGGCUGGAAUCCUUGAGAGAUCAGGGAGUGCUCGAAAGAGAACCAGUACACAGGUGCUGCAUGGCUGUCGUCAGCUCGUGUCGUGAGAUGUUGGGUUAAGUCCCGCAACGAGCGCAACCCUUGUCAUUAGUUGCUACGAAAGGGCACUCUAAUGAGACUGCCGGUGACAAACCGGAGGAAGGUGGGGAUGACGUCAAGUCCUCAUGGCCCUUAUGGGUAGGGCUUCACACGUCAUACAGUGGUACAUACGGAGCGCCGCCAACCCGCGAGGGGGAGCUAAUCGCAGAAAGUGUAUCGUAGUCCGGAUUGUAGUCUGCAACUCGACUGCAUGAAGUUGGAAUCGCUAGUAAUCGCGGAUAAACAUGUCGCGGUGAAUACGUUCCCGGGUCU
Molecule: ribosomal RNA, 1352 nt
Filed under: uncultured bacterium
Lineage: Bacteria
Description: bacterial SSU rRNA
Rfam family: Bacterial small subunit ribosomal RNA
Source: RNAcentral